GACGAACGCUGGCGGCGUGCUUAACACAUGCAAGUCGAACGGAAAGGCCCUGCUUUUGUGGGGUGCUCGAGUGGCGAACGGGUGAGUAACACGUGAGUAACCUGCCCUUGACUUUGGGAUAACUUCAGGAAACUGGGGCUAAUACCGGAUAGGAGCUCCUGCUGCAUGGUGGGGGUUGGAAAGUUUCGGCGGUUGGGGAUGGACUCGCGGCUUAUCAGCUUGUUGGUGGGGUAGUGGCUUACCAAGGCUUUGACGGGUAGCCGGCCUGAGAGGGUGACCGGCCACAUUGGGACUGAGAUACGGCCCAGACUCCUACGGGAGGCAGCAGUGGGGAAUAUUGCACAAUGGGCGGAAGCCUGAUGCAGCAACGCCGCGUGCGGGAUGACGGCCUUCGGGUUGUAAACCGCUUUCGCCUGUGACGAAGCGUGAGUGACGGUAAUGGGUAAAGAAGCACCGGCUAACUACGUGCCAGCAGCCGCGGUGAUACGUAGGGUGCGAGCGUUGUCCGGAUUUAUUGGGCGUAAGGGGCUCGUAGGUGGUUGAUCGCGUCGGAAGUGUAAUCUUGGGGCUUAACCCUGAGCGUGCUUUCGAUACGGGUUGACUUGAGGAAGGUAGGGGAGAAUGGAAUUCCUGGUGGAGCGGUGGAAUGCGCAGAUAUCAGGAGGAACGCCAGUGGCGAAGGCGGUUCUCUGGGCCUUUCCUGACGCUGAGGAGCGAAAGCGUGGGGAGCGAACAGGCUUAGAUACCCUGGUAGUCCACGCUGUAAACGGUGGGUACUAGGUGUGGGGUCCAUUCCACGGGUUCCGUGCCGUAGCUAACGCUUUAAGUACCCCGCCUGGGGAGUACGGCCGCAAGGCUAAAACUCAAAGGAAUUGACGGGGCCCCGCACAAGCGGCGGAGCAUGCGGAUUAAUUCGAUGCAACGCGUAGAACCUUACCUGGGUUUGACAUGGAUCGGGAGUGCUCAGAGAUGGGUGUGCCUCUUUUGGGGUCGGUUCACAGGUGGUGCAUGCCUGUCGUCAGCUCGUGUCGUGAGAUGUUGUGUUAAGUCCCGCAACGAGCGCAACCCUUGUUCACUGUUGCCAGCACGUUAUGGUGGGGACUCAGUGGAGACCGCCGGGGUCAACUCGGAGGAAGGUGGGGGUGACGUCAAGUCCUCAUGCCCCUUAUGUCCAGGGCUUCACGCAUGCUACAAUGGCUGGUACAGAGAGUGGCGAGCCUGUGAGGGUGAGCGAAUCUCGGAAAGCCGGUCUCAGUUCGGAUUGGGGUCUGCAACUCGACCUCAUGAAGUCGGAGUCGCUAGUAAUCGCAGAUCAGCAACGCUGCGGUGAAUACGUUCCCGGG
RNAcentral lists this ribosomal RNA (1343 nucleotides) under uncultured bacterium. RNAcentral's name for it is "16S ribosomal RNA". It matches the Rfam family "Bacterial small subunit ribosomal RNA", at positions 28 to 1378 of the family's 1533-position model. The record is from RNAcentral.